AACGCACGAGACCUGCGGACCUGCGGAAGGAUCAUUAUAGAGUGGUAAACCUCCCGUAAAAAGGGGGGGACCUCCCGUCCUUUGCAGGCUCUUUUUUAAGGGGCUUUUUUGACUUUCUGCUUCGGUGGGGUUAUCCUACCGGAACAACUUCAAAACUCUGAAUCAAAAAAAUCGUUCUGUCCGAGGGCUUUUUUAUAAAAUAAAAAAAAACUUUCAACAAUGGAUCUCUAGAUCGGAAGA
RNAcentral lists this unclassified non-coding RNA (240 nucleotides) under soil metagenome. Its description in RNAcentral is "partial contains 5.8S ribosomal RNA, internal transcribed spacer 2, and large subunit ribosomal RNA". The record is from RNAcentral.